This 254-nucleotide ribosomal RNA is filed under the name uncultured bacterium. Its description in RNAcentral is "partial 16S ribosomal RNA". It matches the Rfam family "Bacterial small subunit ribosomal RNA", at positions 524 to 776 of the family's 1533-position model. The record is from RNAcentral.
UACGGGGGGGGGCAAGCGUUGUCCGGAAUUACUGGGCGUAAAGCGCACGUAGGCGGAUACUUAAGUCAGGGGUGAAAUCCCGGGGCUCAACCCCGGAACUGCCUUUGAUACUGGGUAUCUCGAGUCCGGAAGAGGUGAGUGGAAUUCCGAGCGUAGAGGUGAAAUUCGUAGAUAUUCGGAGGAACACCAGUGGCGAAGGCGGCUCACUGGUCCGGUACUGACGCUGAGGUGCGAAAGCGUGGGGAGUAAACAGG